GAUGAACGCUGGCGGCGUGCCUAAUACAUGCAAGUCGAGCGAACAGACGAGGAGCUUGCUCCUCUGACGUUAGCGGCGGACGGGUGAGUAACACGUGGAUAACCUACCUAUAAGACUGGGAAAACUUCGGGAAACCGGAGCUAAUACCGGAUAAUAAAUUGAACCGCAUGGUUCAAUAGUGAAAGACGGUUUUGCUGUCACUUAUAGAUGGAUCCGCGCCGCAUUAGCUAGUUGGUAAGGUAACGGCUUACCAAGGCAACGAUGCGUAGCCGACCUGAGAGGGUGAUCGGCCACACUGGAACUGAGACACGGUCCAGACUCCUACGGGAGGCAGCAGUAGGGAAUCUUCCGCAAUGGGCGAAAGCCUGACGGAGCAACGCCGCGUGAGUGAUGAAGGUCUUCGGAUCGUAAAACUCUGUUAUUAGGGAAGAACAAAUGUGUAAGUAACUAUGCACGUCUUGACGGUACCUAAUCAGAAAGCCACGGCUAACUACGUG
This 497-nucleotide ribosomal RNA is filed under the name uncultured bacterium. RNAcentral's name for it is "partial 16S ribosomal RNA". It matches the Rfam family "Bacterial small subunit ribosomal RNA", at positions 28 to 507 of the family's 1533-position model. The record is from RNAcentral.